AAACGCUUGAAGUCAGUCGCGUCGGCUAGGAAUCAACCUUGCUUUUGCUGGGUGUACUUUCUAGUUGACGGGUCAGCAUCAGUUUUGACCAGCGGAAAAAGGUGUAGGAAAUGUGGCUCCUUUGGGAGUGUUAUAGUCUUGCAUUGUAUACGCUGGUUGGGACUGAGGAACUCAGCACGCCGCAAGGCCGGGGUUCGCCCACGUUCGUGCUUAGGAUGCUGGCAAAAUGGCUUUAAUCGA
RNAcentral lists this ribosomal RNA (240 nucleotides) under Crepidotus sp. RNAcentral's name for it is "partial large subunit ribosomal RNA". The record is from RNAcentral. Lineage: Eukaryota; Fungi; Basidiomycota; Agaricomycetes; Agaricales; Crepidotaceae.